RNAcentral lists this ribosomal RNA (494 nucleotides) under uncultured bacterium. Its description in RNAcentral is "partial 16S ribosomal RNA". It matches the Rfam family "Bacterial small subunit ribosomal RNA", at positions 28 to 507 of the family's 1533-position model. The record is from RNAcentral.
GACGAACGCUGGCGGCGUGCUUAACACAUGCAAGUCGAACGGUGAAGCGCCUUCCUUUUUGGUGGGUGUGGAUGAGUGGCGAACGGGUGAGUAACACGUGAGUAACCUGCCCCCUUCUUCUGGAUAACCGCAUGAAAGUGUGGCUAAUACGGGAUAUUCUGGGUCUGUCGCAUGAUGGGUCUGGGAAAGAUAUUGUUUCGGUGGGGGAUGGGCUCGCGGCCUAUCAGCUUGUUGGUGGGGUGAUGGCCUACCAAGGCGGUGACGGGUAGCCGGCCUGAGAGGAUGGACGGUCACACUGGGACUGAGACACGGCCCAGACUCCUAAGGGAGGCAGCAGUGGGGAAUAUUGCACAAUGGGCGCAAGCCUGAUGCAGCGACGCCGCGUGAGGGAUGGAGGCCUGCGAGUUGUGAAUCUCUUUCGACAGUGAAGCAGGCCUGCCUCGUUUGUGGGUGGGUUGACGGUAGCUGGAGAAGAAGCGCCGGCUAACUACGUG